Molecule: ribosomal RNA, 582 nt
Filed under: uncultured bacterium
Lineage: Bacteria
Description: bacterial SSU rRNA
Rfam family: Bacterial small subunit ribosomal RNA
Source: RNAcentral
CUGGCGGCGUGCCUAACAAUGCAAGUCGAACGAGAAAGUGGAGCAAUCCAUGAGUAAAGUGGCGACCGGGUGAGUAACACGUGACUAACCUACCUCCGAGUGGGGAAUAACUCCGGGAAACCGGGGCUAAUACCGCAUAAUAUCGCGAGAUCAAAGCAGCAAUGCGCUUGGAGAGGGGGUCGCGGCUGAUUAGCUAGUUGGCGGGGUAACGGCCCACCAAGGCGAAGAUCGGUAUCCGGCCUGAGAGGGCGCACGGACACACUGGAACUGAAACACGGUCCAGACUCCUACGGGAGGCAGCAGUGGGGAAUUUUGCGCAAUGGGGGAAACCCUGACGCAGCAACGCCGCGUGGAGGAUGAAGCCCUUUGGGGCGUAAACUCCUUUCGACCAAGACGAUAAUGACGGUACUGGUGGAAGAAGCACCGGCUAACUCUGUGCCAGCAGCCGCGGUAAUACAGAGGGUGCAAGCGUUGUUCGGAAUUAUUGGGCGUAAAGGGCGCGUANGCGGUGCCACAAGUCACUUGUGAAAUCUCCGGGCUUAACUCGGAGUCUGCAGGCGAAACUGUGGUGCUGGAGUGUGG